GGGGGCAUAGGCUAGUAGGAAACUGGACGGCUCCAGACCGUCAGUCGGGGGUGCAAAUCCCUCUGUCCCCA
Molecule: transfer RNA, 71 nt
Filed under: Nanobdellota archaeon
Lineage: Archaea; Nanobdellati; Nanobdellota
Description: tRNA-Trp
Rfam family: tRNA
About the family: Transfer RNA (tRNA) molecules are approximately 80 nucleotides in length. Their secondary structure includes four short double-helical elements and three loops (D, anti-codon, and T loops).
Source: RNAcentral